AUUGAACGCUGGCGGCAGGCCUAACACAUGCAAGUCGAACGAGUGGCGGACGGGCGAGUAAUGUCUGGGAAACUGCCUGAUGGGGGGGGAUAACUACUGGAAACGGUAGCUAAUAACGCAUACCACCCGUUGUGCCCAGAUGGGAUUAGCUUGUUGGUGGGGUAACGGCGCACCAAGGCGACGAUCCCUAGCUGGUCUGAGCGGAGGACCAGCCACACUGGAACUGAGACACGGUCCAGACUCCUACGGGAGGCAGCAGUGGGGAAUAUUGCACAAUGGGCGCAAGCCUGAUGCAGCCAUGCCGCGUGUGUGAAGAAGGCCUUCGGAUUGUAAAGUACUUUCAGCGGGGAGGCGUUACCCGCAGAAGAAGCACCGGCUAACUCCGUGCCAGCAGCCGCGGUAAUAC
Molecule: ribosomal RNA, 406 nt
Filed under: uncultured bacterium
Lineage: Bacteria
Description: partial 16S ribosomal RNA
Rfam family: Bacterial small subunit ribosomal RNA
Source: RNAcentral